Molecule: RNA transcript, 2809 nt
Organism: Capsicum annuum
Lineage: Eukaryota; Viridiplantae; Streptophyta; Magnoliopsida; Solanales; Solanaceae
Exons: 4
Source: RefSeq, a predicted model, not a curated record
AGUCUAAAGUGUACUAUUGAAUUUGGACAUUUAAGACAUUUUAGUACUCGUGUCUCUUACCCUGAUACUAAAUAGCCACGUAUUCUCUUCAUCUCAGUAGAUUUCAUAGCCAUGGCUGACACAUAUUUUAACUUCUAUCUGGGUUGAUUUUACACCCACCUACUUCCCUUUCUCUUCAUUUUAUUUUUUCUUAUUUUUUGGUUUUCCUUAGGGUUGUGUUCAUAUUUUCUAACUAUUGGGUUACGUGCACAAAGAAGAUACCACGUUUACUUAUUGUGAUUCUUGAAAUUUGUGUAGCUUUAACUCUUCUGUUAAUUGAUUAUUCAGCUGCAUAUGAAGAUGGAAGGAAAGACAACAAUAAGACGCCUUGCGUGUAUUCCCUUUCAUAAGCUACAGACCUCGUUUCCAGAAAUUCAUUUUUGUCAUCAAGAGAGCUUCGGGAUAAUACACUUGAUGAAUCACAGGUCAUCGUGUCUCUGCUGAAAUCACCAAGGGAAAUGUCUUCCCCCUGUUAUGUAGUCCUCUGCGAUAUGCUUCCUGAUCCUUUAAGUAAACAACUAUAGGAGAUUCUUUUCGAAAAACUAUGCUUCACUUUAGGUUUCACAGACUCUGAAUUAGUGGAUGAAUUUUGUAAGAGACGUCUUUUCCUCUUCUAAUCAUACCUAUCAUUGCACUUUUUUAGAAAGCGAUGCUUACUUCUAGAAGAAUAAACCUUCCAUGCCCAUCUUUUGUCCCUUUAGUCCACACCCCAAAGUAGUAACUUCCAUUGGCAAAUCGGUAACAGCCUGACCCAAGUCUUAAACCAUUCAACCAACAUCCAUCAAAAACUCUUAACUCUUAUUAUCCGUAUUAGUGUGCAAUUACCUUUACAGUGCACAUGACCCUAAGAUCCAGGAUCGACCUGAUAACAGCCGACACUCCUGACUGAACAGGUCCAGAUCAUCGAUAUCAGUCGAGAGAGAAAACAUCCUGUGAAACAAAUUCUAUUCCAAAAUAUCUUUUUAGAAGAUGAACGGGUGCUCCCACCAAUGUAGUGGUGGCAAGAAGAUGCAAUAUGUAAAAGCUUUUGAUAAUUUCAAGUGGUGGCAAGAAGAUGCAAUAUGUACAAACUACCAUCUUUUGUAAGCAGGGUCAAUUUCAAAGUCGAUUUGUUGAAGUGACACCUACAAUAUCAGAAGGUAUAACUUAGCUCCAUCCGUGAGAAUGUUUUGUCUGCACUCUAACUGACAUGAAGUAUAUGGUGUUUCACGGAGUUGUUCACACAAGGAAGAUGGAAGCUUAACAGGGAGGUCAAGGGACAAUGGGCACAUGCUUGAAACUUGCCUCAUUUUUUAUGUUAUGGAGUGUCCAUAGAGGGGUAAAUGGAAAAGCUCAAGCUUUGCACAAAGGAAUAAGUUGUCGGUAAGAUUUCUCUAAGGUGAAGCAAUGCUGCCAAUUUGAAAAAAAAAAGGUCUUUAGACAUUUCUUUAUAUAGGCAGGCGUAUGAAUCUGUCGUAUUCCAUUUCAAUGCUCCUUUUUUAUAUAAAAUGACCAAGCUAUAGGUUAAAAAUCAAGUUCUUGUGUUUAUAUCGAGAAGUGUAGGGUGAUUUUCAUUUAAUACAUCAAUGUAACUCAAUGCAUACAGCAUAGCAUCAUGCCUUCUUUUGUGCUCCGAUCAGAUUGCUUGUGAAAUUAAUUUGAAAUCAUAUAUUGCUGCAGUAAUUUUUCAUCAUCAAUCUACUAUUUCUCACUAAAUAUGUGUUCACUUACCUAAUGAUCUUAUCAUACCAUCCAUGUUUUUCGAACCAAAUAGUAUGCUGAAGCUUCUACUUCUAUUAUUGAUGAUAGAAUCAGUGAAGCAAAACAUGAAGAGAAUCACAUAAUAUUACUAAGGCUCAUAGGCCCGAUUUUCUGGAUUCCUUCGGACCCCGGUAAAUUAGUUUGUUCAUGAGCUGCCUCUAAAGUAUGAGCGAGUGUGGAAAAGGAGCUCACUGAGUGCAGCAAUUUAUAGUGGGAAUUUUCUAAGGUGACUAUUGUACAUAUAUAUAAGGAAGAAAUUUACAAUGUUUUUAGGUAAUUUCUAGGGUGAUUAUGUGAUAUAUGUACAAGAGAUCAAUUAAGUUAUUUCAAUUGAGUUAUCAAGGAAAUGUAUGGAAAAGAUGCAACUGGAGCUAAGGAGAUUAUGGACCCCAAUGUAAAUUAUGUUGGCGAAAAGACAAAUAUAUCAAUGGAAGUAGUCAGGGAGUCAGAUUAUAGUUAUAAUAUAUGUCCCCUUUUUUUUCAUCUAAUUUGUAGAAAAUGCUAGCACUGUGUUGCUGCAUAAACUUCUUAUUUUUGCUACUGUUUUUCGUGAGUCCUUCAAAGGAUUAAGUUGAUUACUGUUUUAGUACAGGCUUUAACAUAAAGAAAUUUCAUGUAAAAGGCUUAAUAUAUUUAAUGUGAAAGGCAAAUUUUUAUGCUUUCUUUCUUUACAGGUUACUCUUAUUAGAAGAGAACCAAAGUUCUUUACAUUCAGUUUCGUAUAAGCAAGGUGAAGAUGGGCGUCCUUUCUCCACAUACUUCUUUAUAACUGACACCAAUGACGGAGUGUCAGCUUUGGUAAACAAGGUCAAUUUCAAAGACCAAUUGUUAGAGCGACGCAGAAGGUUGGAAUUAGUGAAUUUUGUACCCCAAAUUUAAAAUAUCAUUUCAUUUUGAAGCUUAUAACUUUCUAAAAAGGCUUGGCAAGGUAUUAUCUUUCUUUGGUAAUGGCCUCACAGAAAUGGUUCUUAACGUGUGCUCUAUUAUGUUAUACUCCCUCCGUUUCGGAAUAAGUGAAUUGUUUGGGGUA